Molecule: non-coding RNA, 543 nt
Organism: Poecilia reticulata (guppy)
Lineage: Eukaryota; Metazoa; Chordata; Actinopteri; Cyprinodontiformes; Poeciliidae
Source: RefSeq, a predicted model, not a curated record
UGCUAAGAAGAAGUGACCGUUUGAGAACAAAUGGAUAUUAUAUCAACGGACAACCAGUUAUUUUAUAUAAUGAUACACCUUACAGAUGGAGGUGCAGAACAGGUCGCCCUGUAAACCGCCCUGUAAAUGGGGAGGUAAUAUUUAGAGAAAGGUUUCAUAGUCAGGAGGAGAAAAUGGUUGACCAAGAAAACCAGAUGAUGGACACAUUUAGAGAAAGGUUUCGUAAUCAAGAGGAGAAAAUGGUUGACCAAGAAAACCAGAUGAUGGACACUCGGAUGCAGGGUUUUCAUAACGUCUGUCUCGUUAUCUUUGGCAUCUUCGUCACUUUUGCUUGUAUUUGUCGGAUUAUUUCCCUGCACUCGCGACCUUCAGAGUUACCUGUCACACCAACUUUAACAGACAUGGUUACAAUCUCUGGAAGUAAGGAUCAGAGAGAUCUCUCCAUGCUGCAGUUGAUGGAGUCAAAGCUUGACUACCUUCUACCACAAGCAGAUCUGUUGCCCAACUUUGCUCUGGAGUCUCAAGGUGAACCAUUACAAAUAA